This is a small nucleolar RNA of Sciurus vulgaris (Eurasian red squirrel), 127 nucleotides long. NCBI's taxonomy places the organism in Eukaryota, Metazoa, Chordata, Mammalia, Rodentia, Sciuridae. The record is from Ensembl.
AGCUCUCUUGUUUCUGUUUUUGCUUACCUAUGGGUAAAGACGUAUGGACGUGUGCAGAAGAUACAUCCUAUCUUGCAACCCAGAACUUGCUGUUUGGUGAAUUUUGAUACAUAUAAGAAGGAAUAUU